RNAcentral lists this transfer RNA (71 nucleotides) under Marmota monax (woodchuck). Its description in RNAcentral is "tRNA.Ala". Lineage: Eukaryota; Metazoa; Chordata; Mammalia; Rodentia; Sciuridae. The record is from RNAcentral.
GGGGUUGUGGCUCAGCGGUAGAGUGUUCACUUAGCAUAUGUGCGGCCCUGGGUUCGAUCCUCAGCACCACA